Molecule: ribosomal RNA, 233 nt
Filed under: uncultured bacterium
Lineage: Bacteria
Description: partial 16S ribosomal RNA
Rfam family: Bacterial small subunit ribosomal RNA
Source: RNAcentral
GCAAGUCGAGCGCACCUUCGGGUGAGUGGCGGACGGGUGAGGAACACGUGGGAACAUACCUUUUGGUACGGAAUAGCCUCGGGAAACUGGGAGUAAUACCGUAUACGUCCUUUGGUUUUAGCGACUGGAGGAGAAAGAUUUAUCGCCGAGAGAUUGGCCCGCGUUGGAUUAGCUAGUUGGUGGGGUAAAGGCCUACCAAGGCAACGAUCUAUAGCUGGUUUGAGAGGAUGAUC